Molecule: ribosomal RNA, 465 nt
Filed under: uncultured bacterium
Lineage: Bacteria
Description: partial 16S ribosomal RNA
Rfam family: Bacterial small subunit ribosomal RNA
Source: RNAcentral
GACGAACGCUGGCGGCGUGCUUAACACAUGCAAGUCGAACGGAAAGGCCCUGCUUGCAUGGUCCUCGAGUUGCGAACUGGUGAGUAGCACGUGGGUGAUCUGCCCUGCACUUCUUGAUAAGCCUUGGAAACUGGGUCUAAUACCUGAUAGGAGCCAUUUUUUGUGUGAUGGUUGGAAAGUUUUUUCGGUGUAGGAUGAUCUCGCGGCCUAUCAGCUUGUUGGUGGGGUAAUGGCCUACCAAGGCGGCGACGGGUAGCCGGCCUGAGAGGGUGGACGGCCACAUUGGGACUGAGAUACGGCAGAGACUCCGACGGGAGGAAGAAGUGGGGAAGAUUGAACAAUGGGCGCAAGCCUGAUGAAGCGACGCCGCGUGGGGGAUGACGGGCUUCGGGUUGUAAAAUCCGUUCGCGAGGGAAGAAGCUUUUUGUGACGGUACCUAGAUAAGAAGCACCGGCUAACUACGUG